Molecule: non-coding RNA, 80 nt
Organism: Drosophila ficusphila
Lineage: Eukaryota; Metazoa; Arthropoda; Insecta; Diptera; Drosophilidae
Source: Rfam
AAUUCCUGAUGAAUGAAACUUACACCAUCUUUCGACUGAAAAACGUAUUGAUGCUAUACAAGUUUUCACUGACUUUCGCA